AAAGUCGUAACAAGGUUUCCGUAGGUGAACCUGCGGAAGGAUCAUUACUGAAGUGAUUUGGGGAUGUUGCUGGCCCCUUCUCAGGGGCAAUGUGCACUCCUUGAACAAUUCACAAUCUCCAUCUCACCCUUGUGCACAUUUUGUAGGCAGCACCCUCUCUUGGUUGGGAUGUGGUGUCCUAUGUAUUCUAUCACCUCACACUUUGCUCUUGAACGCACCUUAUGGAUUAUUUGUAAAAGUAAUCACAGAAACAACUUUCAACAAUGGAUCUCUUGGCUCUC
This 281-nucleotide unclassified non-coding RNA is filed under the name Basidiomycota sp. Its description in RNAcentral is "partial contains small subunit ribosomal RNA, internal transcribed spacer 1, and 5.8S ribosomal RNA". The stretch from base 1 to 47 matches the Rfam family "Eukaryotic small subunit ribosomal RNA", at positions 1785 to 1831 of the family's 1831-position model. The record is from RNAcentral. Lineage: Eukaryota; Fungi; Basidiomycota.